CCUACGGGAGGCAGCAGUGGGGAAUAUUGGGCAAUGGGCGCAAGCCUGACCCAGCAACGCCGCGUGAAGGAAGAAGGCUUUCGGGUUGUAAACUUCUUUUCUCAGGGACGAAGAAAGUGACGGUACCUGAGGAAUAAGCCACGGCUAACUACGUGCCAGCAGCCGCGGUAUUCCGUGGGUGCAAGCGUGAUCCGGAUUUACUGGGUGGAAAGGGCGGGUAGGCGGGACUGCAAGUCAGAUGUGAAAACCCCGGGCUCAACCUGGGGCCUGCAUUUGAAACUGGAGUUCUUGAGUAAUGGAGAGGCAGACGGAAUUCCUGGUGUAGCGGUGAAAUGCGUAGAUAUCAGGAGGAACACCAGUGGCGAAGGCGGUCUGCUGGACAGCAACUGACGCUGAGGCGCGAAAGCGUGGGGAGCAAACAGGAUUAGAUACCCUUGUAGUC
Molecule: ribosomal RNA, 442 nt
Filed under: uncultured bacterium
Lineage: Bacteria
Description: partial 16S ribosomal RNA
Rfam family: Bacterial small subunit ribosomal RNA
Source: RNAcentral